RNAcentral lists this ribosomal RNA (1542 nucleotides) under Escherichia coli. RNAcentral's name for it is "bacterial SSU rRNA". It matches the Rfam family "Bacterial small subunit ribosomal RNA". The record is from RNAcentral. Lineage: Bacteria; Pseudomonadati; Pseudomonadota; Gammaproteobacteria; Enterobacterales; Enterobacteriaceae.
AAAUUGAAGAGUUUGAUCAUGGCUCAGAUUGAACGCUGGCGGCAGGCCUAACACAUGCAAGUCGAACGGUAACAGGAAGCAGCUUGCUGCUUUGCUGACGAGUGGCGGACGGGUGAGUAAUGUCUGGGAAACUGCCUGAUGGAGGGGGAUAACUACUGGAAACGGUAGCUAAUACCGCAUAACGUCGCAAGACCAAAGAGGGGGACCUUCGGGCCUCUUGCCAUCGGAUGUGCCCAGAUGGGAUUAGCUUGUUGGUGGGGUAACGGCUCACCAAGGCGACGAUCCCUAGCUGGUCUGAGAGGAUGACCAGCCACACUGGAACUGAGACACGGUCCAGACUCCUACGGGAGGCAGCAGUGGGGAAUAUUGCACAAUGGGCGCAAGCCUGAUGCAGCCAUGCCGCGUGUAUGAAGAAGGCCUUCGGGUUGUAAAGUACUUUCAGCGGGGAGGAAGGGAGUAAAGUUAAUACCUUUACUCAUUGACGUUACCCGCAGAAGAAGCACCGGCUAACUCCGUGCCAGCAGCCGCGGUAAUACGGAGGGUGCAAGCGUUAAUCGGAAUUACUGGGCGUAAAGCGCACGCAGGCGGUUUGUUAAGUCAGAUGUGAAAUCCCCGGGCUCAACCUGGGAACUGCAUCUGAUACUGGCAAGCUUGAGUCUCGUAGAGGGGGGUAGAAUUCCAGGUGUAGCGGUGAAAUGCGUAGAGAUCUGGAGGAAUACCGGUGGCGAAGGCGGCCCCCUGGACGAAGACUGACGCUCAGGUGCGAAAGCGUGGGGAGCAAACAGGAUUAGAUACCCUGGUAGUCCACGCCGUAAACGAUGUCGACUUGGAGGUUGUGCCCUUGAGGCGUGGCUUCCGGAGCUAACGCGUUAAGUCGACCGCCUGGGGAGUACGGCCGCAAGGUUAAAACUCAAAUGAAUUGACGGGGGCCCGCACAAGCGGUGGAGCAUGUGGUUUAAUUCGAUGCAACGCGAAGAACCUUACCUGGUCUUGACAUCCACAGAACUUUCCAGAGAUGGAUUGGUGCCUUCGGGAACUGUGAGACAGGUGCUGCAUGGCUGUCGUCAGCUCGUGUUGUGAAAUGUUGGGUUAAGUCCCGCAACGAGCGCAACCCUUAUCCUUUGUUGCCAGCGGUCCGGCCGGGAACUCAAAGGAGACUGCCAGUGAUAAACUGGAGGAAGGUGGGGAUGACGUCAAGUCAUCAUGGCCCUUACGACCAGGGCUACACACGUGCUACAAUGGCGCAUACAAAGAGAAGCGACCUCGCGAGAGCAAGCGGACCUCAUAAAGUGCGUCGUAGUCCGGAUUGGAGUCUGCAACUCGACUCCAUGAAGUCGGAAUCGCUAGUAAUCGUGGAUCAGAAUGCCACGGUGAAUACGUUCCCGGGCCUUGUACACACCGCCCGUCACACCAUGGGAGUGGGUUGCAAAAGAAGUAGGUAGCUUAACCUUCGGGAGGGCGCUUACCACUUUGUGAUUCAUGACUGGGGUGAAGUCGUAACAAGGUAACCGUAGGGGAACCUGCGGUUGGAUCACCUCCUUA